GCAGCGGUGGUUCAGUGGUAGAAUUCUCACCUUCCAUGUGGGAUAUCCAGGUUCCAUUUCUGGCCAAUGUA
RNAcentral lists this transfer RNA (71 nucleotides) under Loxodonta africana (African savanna elephant). It matches the Rfam family "tRNA". Rfam says of the family: Transfer RNA (tRNA) molecules are approximately 80 nucleotides in length. Their secondary structure includes four short double-helical elements and three loops (D, anti-codon, and T loops). The record is from Rfam by way of RNAcentral. Lineage: Eukaryota; Metazoa; Chordata; Mammalia; Proboscidea; Elephantidae.